GUGCUGUCUUCUACAGCACAAAGACUAGAACUGGAACAAUGCAGAGAAGAUGGGCAUGGCUGUUGAACAGGGCUGACACACAAUUGUGAAAAUGUAAAAUUUAU
Molecule: small nuclear RNA, 104 nt
Organism: Ochotona curzoniae (black-lipped pika)
Lineage: Eukaryota; Metazoa; Chordata; Mammalia; Lagomorpha; Ochotonidae
Source: RefSeq, a predicted model, not a curated record